RNAcentral lists this long non-coding RNA (2687 nucleotides) under Brassica napus (rape). Its description in RNAcentral is "long non-coding RNA (BNAP_LNC001182)". The record is from RNAcentral. Lineage: Eukaryota; Viridiplantae; Streptophyta; Magnoliopsida; Brassicales; Brassicaceae.
AAGGCACACCAACCGUGUUCCUCUCUAUCGGAUCAACAAGAUUAAACUUCUUAGGAUCCUUGUUCGGAUCAAAGUUCCCAAACCCUUGGCCAACGACAAAGAAGUUGAACCCAUGAAGGUGAAGAGGAUGGCUCUCCGCACCAAGAAUGCUAGUGUCCUGCAUCACAAGCUCCACACUCGUGUUAUACCUCAGAACCAUCAAGUUCGUCCCGGUGCUAACCAUGGUGUUGUUAGGCGGAGUGCCUGUGUAGUUAAAAGGAACAAUGGGACUCCACGGGAAGUUCGGAGAAUAAACUCCGUUAGAUCUCCCAGAGUAGUGAGAUUGAAGGAGAGCCUUCGUUGGUAGUGUGAAUGAGAUGUUGCUGAUCGAUGCAGCAAACAUUGUGGUGUUGGUAGGACCCUGGCACGUCUGGUUGUUCUUAUGGUUACAAGGGUUAGUCCCCAACCCCACCGUGAAAAAGAACUUCCUAUCAACCUCCUGAGGCACGUUCGCCGGGAACUUCUUGCUGUUCAAGCUACGCAGCUUGUUGCUGAACUUGGUAGCGAAGUUUGUGUCGUUUAGAGCGGGGAGCACCGGCGUGAAGAGAGGAAGAUUCUUUAUAUUGGUCUUUGCAUGUUUAGGCUGUUCGUAUUCUAAGAUGCCUGCGACUGUAGUGUUAUCGAAAGUCCCUUGACCUGUGGCGUAUGGUCUAGCGGUCAUGAAGAAAGAGGCGCUAGGGUAACUCGGUUUGGUCUUGAGCAGGACGUUUGUGGUCUGGCCAGGAGCGAUCAAGAUGGUGUUAGUCUCGAAUGGUUUGACGUAGACGGCAUCAGCUUCAACGACUGUGACCGUGUGGUUUGCGAUGCUGAAGAAGAGCUCGUCAUUAAGUGCAGCGUUGAUUAUCCUGAGAAGGUAUGUCUUCCCUGCCUUCACUCUCAGUCUGAAUGUAUCUGUUUUUUUUUAACAUCAUUGUUGGUUAUUAUAUUUUAUCAAAACCAUUAUUAGUUGUAGUAGGAAUCAACACUUACCUUUAGCUGAGCAGUUGUAUAGUGGACCAGGAAGACCGUUGAUUGUGUAAGCAUCAGAGACAUUUGGACCACCUCGGUGAUCUUGGAGACAAUUUUGUAGGCUAAUGAUGUCCCUAAGAUUGAUAAAGAUUUGAUUUUUGGUGACUCUUUGUUAUAGUCUUUAGUUAUCUUCAAUGGAGUUAUUGCCCUCUGUACCGUUACUAUAUCUGGAAGAUUCUUGAUUGCAAAGUUGCAAGCUUUUUAGAUUUUGGAUCUUGAAGUCGCAUGUUUUUUUUAUGUAAGGACUCAGUUCUGUUUAGGCUCUUGAAAGUCUGAUGCUUGAACGCAUAGAACCGCAUAAUUGCUAUGGAGUUAAAGUUAAAGUUCUGUGUAUCAAGGAAGGAGGAUUUAGUAGUCCUGUUCAGUUCAACUAAAUUAGUGCAAGGACAGAUGAUCAUCAGAUCGUCUGGUAUGUAAGUUUACAUGCUUUUUUGUCUAUUACAGCGCUUCUUUUGUUCUGUUUGAUGAGUUAGCAGAACAUUUGCUUUCAUAUACAUUAUCUAAUUGUGACGUUCUUGAGAAUGCCAAAUAGAAACAAUAUUGCUCUAAUUAGGAUGCUUACACUCGUGGUCUACAAUAAGGCGAACAGAAACAACAUCUUCGAAGAAACAGAUGCUGAGGAUGAAAUAUCAUCAUCAGUCAUGAAAUACUUGAACUUGCUCAGAGAAGAAGGAUAUCAAAAGUGCUACUUACAUCUGUUCUGUUUUAGUUGUUUGCGGAGAAAGAUUGGCAAUAAGGAGUACUUCCUGAAAUUAACAAGCAGAAAGCACGACUAUAUAUUAUAUAUAUAGUGUUUUUUUUGAGUUUUCUUUUAAACGUUUGAUUUCGACAGUUGUGUUAAGUCGCUUGCUGAUCUUCGAGCUAAGUUCCGAUGAAGACGGUGACGGGAAGAGUAACGAGUGAGAAACCGCAACUUUUGCAAAUUAAAUUGUUUAUGUAUAUAUAUAGCAUGGCACACCGAUCUACAGUUACAGAAAACAGAGCUUUGCAACAGAAACAUAAAUUGACCUCAUGUCAAAUUAUUGAACAGGACUUUGACCUCAUGUCAAACUGAUGAAUAUGGCCGUAAACCAAAAAAAAAAAAAAACAAAUACAUGAAGCUUGGAAGAAAGAAGAGACAAGAAACAAAAAAGAUAGCAAGAUUUAUCAGCACUUGGGCAAGUCUGCAGGAGGAGGAAUCAGUUUCUGAUCAGGCUUAUCUCCAUCAAGAACAAGCCAAGCCAUCCUCAGACCCCAACUGGUAUGCACUUCCAAGUGACAGUGCAUGAACCACACUCCUGUCAUUACAUUUUUUUAAUUUUCAUAUAAGAUUAGACUAACAUAAAAGCUAUAUUUCUUUGGUUUAUAGUGUUUUCUCUUACCUGGGUUGUCUGCAAGGAAUCUAAUAGCAGCCCAUCCACCAGAAGGCACACCAACCGUGUUCCUCUCUAUCGGAUCAACAAGAUUAAACUUCUUAGGAUCCUUGUUCGGAUCAAAGUUCCCAAACCCUUGGCCAACGACAAAGAAGUUGAACCCAUGAAGGUGAAGAGGAUGGCUCUCCGCCCCAAGAAUGCUAGUGUCCUGCAUCACAAGCUCCACACUAGUGUUAUACCUCAGAACCAUCAAGUUCGUCCCGGUGCUAACCAUGGUGUUGUUAGGCG